This 2902-nucleotide ribosomal RNA is filed under the name Klebsiella pneumoniae. RNAcentral's name for it is "23S ribosomal RNA". It matches the Rfam family "Bacterial large subunit ribosomal RNA". The record is from RNAcentral. Lineage: Bacteria; Pseudomonadati; Pseudomonadota; Gammaproteobacteria; Enterobacterales; Enterobacteriaceae.
GGUUAAGCGACUAAGCGUACACGGUGGAUGCCCUGGCAGUCAGAGGCGAUGAAGGACGUGCUAAUCUGCGAAAAGCGUCGGUAAGGUGAUAUGAACCGUUAUAACCGGCGAUGUCCGAAUGGGGAAACCCAGUGUGAUUCGUCACACUAUCGUUAACUGAAUACAUAGGUUAACGAGGCGAACCGGGGGAACUGAAACAUCUAAGUACCCCGAGGAAAAGAAAUCAACCGAGAUUCCCCCAGUAGCGGCGAGCGAACGGGGAGCAGCCCAGAGUCUGAAUCAGCUUGUGUGUUAGUGGAACGGUCUGGAAAGUCCGACGGUACAGGGUGAUAGUCCCGUACACCAAAAUGCACAGGUUGUGAACUCGAAGAGUAGGGCGGGACACGUGGUAUCCUGUCUGAAUAUGGGGGGACCAUCCUCCAAGGCUAAAUACUCCUGACUGACCGAUAGUGAACCAGUACCGUGAGGGAAAGGCGAAAAGAACCCCGGCGAGGGGAGUGAAAAAGAACCUGAAACCGUGUACGUACAAGCAGUGGGAGCACCUUCGGGUGUGACUGCGUACCUUUUGUAUAAUGGGUCAGCGACUUAUAUUCUGUAGCAAGGUUAACCGUAUAGGGGAGCCGCAGGGAAACCGAGUCUUAACUGGGCGUUAAGUUGCAGGGUAUAGACCCGAAACCCGGUGAUCUAGCCAUGGGCAGGUUGAAGGUUGGGUAACACUAACUGGAGGACCGAACCGACUAAUGUUGAAAAAUUAGCGGAUGACUUGUGGCUGGGGGUGAAAGGCCAAUCAAACCGGGAGAUAGCUGGUUCUCCCCGAAAGCUAUUUAGGUAGCGCCUCGUGAACUCAUCUUCGGGGGUAGAGCACUGUUUCGGCUAGGGGGUCAUCCCGACUUACCAACCCGAUGCAAACUACGAAUACCGAAGAAUGUUAUCACGGGAGACACACGGCGGGUGCUAACGUCCGUCGUGAAGAGGGAAACAACCCAGACCGCCAGCUAAGGUCCCAAAGUCAUGGUUAAGUGGGAAACGAUGUGGGAAGGCACAGACAGCCAGGAUGUUGGCUUAGAAGCAGCCAUCAUUUAAAGAAAGCGUAAUAGCUCACUGGUCGAGUCGGCCUGCGCGGAAGAUGUAACGGGGCUAAACCAUGCACCGAAGCUGCGGCAGCGACACUAUGUGUUGUUGGGUAGGGGAGCGUUCUGUAAGCCUGCGAAGGUGACCUGUGAGGGUUGCUGGAGGUAUCAGAAGUGCGAAUGCUGACAUAAGUAACGAUAAAGCGGGUGAAAAGCCCGCUCGCCGGAAGACCAAGGGUUCCUGUCCAACGUUAAUCGGGGCAGGGUGAGUCGACCCCUAAGGCGAGGCCGAAAGGCGUAGUCGAUGGGAAACAGGUUAAUAUUCCUGUACUUGGUGUUACUGCGAAGGGGGGACGGAGAAGGCUAUGUUAGCCGGGCGACGGUUGUCCCGGUUUAAGCAUGUAGGCUGGUUGUCCAGGCAAAUCCGGAUAAUCAAGGCUGAGGUGUGAUGACGAGGCACUACGGUGCUGAAGUAACAAAUGCCCUGCUUCCAGGAAAAGCCUCUAAGCAUCAGGUAACAUCAAAUCGUACCCCAAACCGACACAGGUGGUCAGGUAGAGAAUACCAAGGCGCUUGAGAGAACUCGGGUGAAGGAACUAGGCAAAAUGGUGCCGUAACUUCGGGAGAAGGCACGCUGGUGUGUAGGUGAAGUCCCUGCGGAUGGAGCUGAGACCAGUCGAAGAUACCAGCUGGCUGCAACUGUUUAUUAAAAACACAGCACUGUGCAAACACGAAAGUGGACGUAUACGGUGUGACGCCUGCCCGGUGCCGGAAGGUUAAUUGAUGGGGUUAUCCGUAAGGAGAAGCUCUUGAUCGAAGCCCCGGUAAACGGCGGCCGUAACUAUAACGGUCCUAAGGUAGCGAAAUUCCUUGUCGGGUAAGUUCCGACCUGCACGAAUGGCGUAAUGAUGGCCAGGCUGUCUCCACCCGAGACUCAGUGAAAUUGAACUCGCUGUGAAGAUGCAGUGUACCCGCGGCAAGACGGAAAGACCCCGUGAACCUUUACUAUAGCUUGACACUGAACAUUGAGCCUUGAUGUGUAGGAUAGGUGGGAGGCUUUGAAGCGUGGACGCCAGUCUGCGUGGAGCCAACCUUGAAAUACCACCCUUUAAUGUUUGAUGUUCUAACGUUGGCCCCUGACCGGGGUUGCGGACAGUGUCUGGUGGGUAGUUUGACUGGGGCGGUCUCCUCCCAAAGCGUAACGGAGGAGCACGAAGGUUAGCUAAUCCUGGUCGGACAUCAGGAGGUUAGUGCAAUGGCAUAAGCUAGCUUGACUGCGAGCGUGACGGCGCGAGCAGGUGCGAAAGCAGGUCAUAGUGAUCCGGUGGUUCUGAAUGGAAGGGCCAUCGCUCAACGGAUAAAAGGUACUCCGGGGAUAACAGGCUGAUACCGCCCAAGAGUUCAUAUCGACGGCGGUGUUUGGCACCUCGAUGUCGGCUCAUCACAUCCUGGGGCUGAAGUAGGUCCCAAGGGUAUGGCUGUUCGCCAUUUAAAGUGGUACGCGAGCUGGGUUUAGAACGUCGUGAGACAGUUCGGUCCCUAUCUGCCGUGGGCGCUGGAGAAUUGAGGGGGGCUGCUCCUAGUACGAGAGGACCGGAGUGGACGCAUCACUGGUGUUCGGGUUGUCAUGCCAAUGGCACUGCCCGGUAGCUAAAUGCGGAAGAGAUAAGUGCUGAAAGCAUCUAAGCACGAAACUUGCCCCGAGAUGAGUUCUCCCUGAGACUUUAAGUCUCCUGAAGGAACGUUAAAGACGAUGACGUUGAUAGGCCGGGUGUGUAAGCGCAGCGAUGCGUUGAGCUAACCGGUACUAAUGAACCGUGAGGCUUAACCUU